UCAAAAACAUCUCUUCUUGGUAUAAUAAGAAGUAGGCCCUGCCCGGUGUCUCAUUAUGAUAAACGGCGGUGUUAAACCUUAAAGUAGCGUAAUAAUUUGUCCUUUAAUUGGGGGCCAGUAUGAAGGGGUUGACGAUGGAGAGACUGUCUCCAAAAGAGUUGCUGAAAUUUUCUUUCUAGUGAAAAGACUAGAAUCAGGUUGAAAGACGAGAAGACCCCGUCGAGCUUAAAUCAACCUCUUUCUGUUUGUAGGUGUGUUUGUAAAUUUUUGUGGGGUAAUAAAGGAGAAGUAAAAACCUCUUUUUUUUGAUAUUUAGGAUCCAUAUAUUAUGAAAAAAAGAAAAAGCUACCGCGGGGAUAACAGCGUUAGACUGCCUGGGAGGCCUUAUUAAGGCAGUAGGUAAGACCUCGAUGUUGGCUUAGGGAAAACUUUUUGGUGCAGAAACUGGUAAAUUGACUAGCGUCUUGGAUGGCUUCAAAA
RNAcentral lists this ribosomal RNA (480 nucleotides) under Fragum carinatum. Its description in RNAcentral is "partial 16S ribosomal RNA". It matches the Rfam family "Bacterial large subunit ribosomal RNA", at positions 1807 to 2592 of the family's 2925-position model. Lineage: Eukaryota; Metazoa; Mollusca; Bivalvia; Cardiida; Cardiidae. The record is from RNAcentral.